Molecule: ribosomal RNA, 495 nt
Filed under: uncultured bacterium
Lineage: Bacteria
Description: partial 16S ribosomal RNA
Rfam family: Bacterial small subunit ribosomal RNA
Source: RNAcentral
UGAACGCUGGCGGCGUGCCUAAUACAUGCAAGUCGAGCGAACAGACGAGGAGCUUGCUCCUCUGACGUUAGCGGCGGACGGGUGAGUAACACGUGGAUAACCUACCUAUAAGACUGGGAUAACUUCGGGAAACCGGAGCUAAUACCGGAUAAUAUAUUGAACCGCAUGGUUCAAUAGUGAAAGACGGUUUUGCUGUCACUUAUAGAUGGAUCCGCGCCGCAUUAGCUAGUUGGUAAGGUAACGGCUUACCAAGGCAACGAUGCGUAGCCGACCUGAGAGGGUGAUCGGCCACACUGGAACUGAGACACGGCCCAGACUCCUACGGGAGGCAGCAGUAGGGAAUCUUCCGCAAUGGGCGAAAGCCUGACGGAGCAACGCCGCGUGAGUGAUGAAGGUCUUCGGAUCGUAAAACUCUGUUAUUAGGGAAGAACAAAUGUGUAAGUAACUAUGCACGUCUUGACGGUACCUAAUCAGAAAGCCACGGCUAACUACGUG